AGCGAACGCUGGCGGCAGGCUUAACACAUGCAAGUCGAGCGGGCACUUUCGGGUGUCAGCGGCUGACGGGUGGGUAACGCGGGGGAACGUGCCCUCUGGUUCGGAAUAACUCAGGGAAACUUGAGCUAAUACCGGAUACGCCCUUUUGGGGAAAGGCUUGCUGCCGGAGGAUCGGGCCGCGUCUGAUUAGCUAGUUGGUUAGGUAACGGCUCACCAAGGCGACGAUCAGUAGCUGGGCUGAGAGGAUGAUCAGCGACACUGGGAAUAAGACACGGCCCAGACUCGGACGGGAGGCAGCAGAGGGGAAUAUUGGAGGAUGGGCGCAAGCCUGAUACAGCCAUGCCGGGUAAGUGAUGAAGGCCGUAGGGUUGUAAAGCUCUUUUAUCCGGGACGAUAAUGACGGUACCGGAGGAAUAAGCCCCGGCUAACUUCGUG
Molecule: ribosomal RNA, 435 nt
Filed under: uncultured bacterium
Lineage: Bacteria
Description: partial 16S ribosomal RNA
Rfam family: Bacterial small subunit ribosomal RNA
Source: RNAcentral